CCACUGCUUUGUUUCAGCAGGGAUGGUGGUAGCAGGCUGCUACCUGCCAGGCUGUGUGUGCAGGGGAUAUGUGGGAAACCUCUGUUCCUUCCUCUCAAUUUUGCUCUGAAUCUAAAACCCUGCUUAAAAAAGUCAAUUCUUAAAAAAAACAGGAUGGAGACAAACCUUUCAGAUACAAUACAUGAACUUGGGUUCAAAAACAGUAAGAAAACUCUCUCCGGGGCAAUUACAGAAAUACCAGAACACGUCUCAGGACAGAGGCUGCAGUGAAGGAGGUGGGACACAGAGGUACUCGCAUCCCGUGCCUUGGGCCCCUCACUCCAGGACGUUAGUAUCAUCCGCACUAAAAGAACAGUGCGUUCUGGCCAUUCUGGGACCUAAGCAGGGGCCAGCCAGACCUCAGCAUCCUUCACAUCUGUCCUGCUGGCCACGGUGUCUGGGGAGAGCUGUGCCACCCCCCUGCUCUGAUCACACCUACCUUCUCCGGGGGACUGGCUGGUGCCCAGAGUGGGAAAUGAAACAUGUCUUCAAUUGUUGA
RNAcentral lists this long non-coding RNA (538 nucleotides) under Pan paniscus (pygmy chimpanzee). Its description in RNAcentral is "lncRNA (ENSPPAG00000044450.1)". Lineage: Eukaryota; Metazoa; Chordata; Mammalia; Primates; Hominidae. The record is from RNAcentral.